UACGGGGGGGGCAAGCGUUGUUCGGAAUUACUGGGCUUAAAGGGCGCGUAGGCGGGUGCUCAAGUCCGUGGUGAAAUCCUCCGGCUCAACCGGAGAACUGCCUCGGAUACUGGGCGUCUCGAGUGUGGUAGGGGUAUGCGGAACUAUCGGUGGAGCGGUGAAAUGCGUUGAUAUCGAUAGGAACUCCGGUGGCGAAGGCGGCAUACUGGACCACCACUGACGCUGAUGCGCGAAAGCCAGGGGAGCAAACGGG
This 253-nucleotide ribosomal RNA is filed under the name uncultured bacterium. RNAcentral describes it as "partial 16S ribosomal RNA". It matches the Rfam family "Bacterial small subunit ribosomal RNA", at positions 524 to 776 of the family's 1533-position model. The record is from RNAcentral.